UUUAAAUGGCCGCAGUAUAUUAACUGUGCAAAGGUAGCAUAAUAAUUAGUUUUUUAAUUGAAGGCUGGAAUGAAUGGUUGAACGAAAUAUUAACUGUUUCAUAAUAAUUUAAAUUAGAAUUUAAUUUUUUAGUUAAAAAGCUAAAAUUUAUUUAAAAGACAAGAAGACCCUAUAAAUCUUUAUAUUAAAUUUAUUUUAAUUAUAUUUAAUUUUAUUAUAUUAAAUUUAAUAUUUUAUUGGGGUGAUAAUAAAAUUUAAUAAACUUUUUUCUUUUUUUUCAUUUAUUUAUGAAUUAUUGAUCCAUUAUUAAUGAUUAAAAAUUUAAGUUACUUUAGGGAUAACAGCGUAAUUUUUUUGAAGAGUUCUUAUUGAUAAAAAAGAUUGCGACCUCGAUGUUGGAUUAAGAGAUAAGUUUAGGUGUAGUGGCUUAAAUUUUAAGUCU
This 442-nucleotide ribosomal RNA is filed under the name Phaonia subventa. Its description in RNAcentral is "partial 16S ribosomal RNA". The record is from RNAcentral. Lineage: Eukaryota; Metazoa; Arthropoda; Insecta; Diptera; Muscidae.